This is a small nucleolar RNA of Chiloscyllium plagiosum (whitespotted bambooshark), 86 nucleotides long. RefSeq annotates it as small nucleolar RNA SNORD11B. The record is from RefSeq and is a predicted model, not a curated record. Lineage: Eukaryota; Metazoa; Chordata; Chondrichthyes; Orectolobiformes; Hemiscylliidae.
CUGCAGCAAUGAUGAUGAUGACACUGUCACCCUUCCUGAUUAAGUACUGAGGGUUUUUUCAGUCACUACCUCAUCUGAGACUGCCA